RNAcentral lists this ribosomal RNA (404 nucleotides) under uncultured Hyphomonas sp. RNAcentral describes it as "bacterial SSU rRNA". It matches the Rfam family "Bacterial small subunit ribosomal RNA", at positions 378 to 774 of the family's 1533-position model. The record is from RNAcentral. Lineage: Bacteria; Pseudomonadati; Pseudomonadota; Alphaproteobacteria; Hyphomonadales; Hyphomonadaceae.
AAACCCUGAUGCAGCCAUGCCGCGUGUGUGAAGAAGGCCUUCGGGUUGUAAAGCACUUUCAGUCAGGAGGAAGGUGGUGUAGCUAAUAUCUGCACCAAUUGACGUUACUGACAGAAGAAGCCCCGGCUAACUUCGUGCCAGCAGCCGCGGUAAUACGAAGGGGGCUAGCGUUGUUCGGAAUUACUGGGCGUAAAGCGCACGUAGGCGGACUUUUAAGUCAGGUGUGAAAUCCCGGGGCUCAACCUCGGAACUGCAUUUGAAACUGGAAGUCUGGAGAUCAGGAGAGGGUAGCGGAAUACCGAGUGUAGAGGUGAAAUUCGUAGAUAUUCGGUGGAACACCAGUGGCGAAGGCGGCUAACUGGACUGAUACUGACGCUGAGGUGCGAAAGUGUGGGGAGCAAACA